CUUCCUGGGGAAGCCAUUCCUUGUCAUCUUCUUUGUUCAAGCAGCCAUGUGCUUGGAGAUAUCUUUGCUAGUGAUUGGUUGAGGAGUGGUCUAGUACUGGCUAAGAAGACAGAAGAAGAGCAUUUGAAAGGAGCUUCUUUUAUCCCUGAAAAAAAGAAAUGAAUGAUAUAAUGCCUGGAGCUGCAGCAGCCACAUUAAGUCUAUAAAGUCGGAUGAACAGGAGGAUAAAAAGCCAACACACACAUAAGGGGAACAGGAAGAAAAGACAGAAAGAAACUGAGUCCUUGAUGGCAUCCCUGGAGCAGCUGAAUCAACACCACUAACCACAUACCUCUAUCUUCUUAUGUGGGAAAAAUAAACCCUUAUUUGAUUAAA
This is a long non-coding RNA of Ictidomys tridecemlineatus (thirteen-lined ground squirrel), 375 nucleotides long. RefSeq lists it as uncharacterized. The record is from RefSeq and is a predicted model, not a curated record. NCBI's taxonomy places the organism in Eukaryota, Metazoa, Chordata, Mammalia, Rodentia, Sciuridae.